This 290-nucleotide ribosomal RNA is filed under the name uncultured Coprinopsis. RNAcentral describes it as "partial 18S ribosomal RNA". The record is from RNAcentral. Lineage: Eukaryota; Fungi; Basidiomycota; Agaricomycetes; Agaricales; Psathyrellaceae.
CACUAUGUCCUGUGAUUUGCAAGGGUCUCAUUAACUCAUAUAUAUUAUAUUUUAUUAUCCCACGAUACGGGUAACCCUGGGGAAUUUUCUAGAUCUAACACGCGCAAAAACCCCCCAACUUCCGGAAGGGGUUUAUUAAAAAAAAAAAACACCCCCCCCGGGCGUCUCUGCUUUUUUAAGACAAAAUUAACUUCUCGAAUCGCAGGGCCCUGGGCCGGGUAUACUCCAAUCUCUCCCCUACCCUAUCUUUUUUCGAAGGUAGGAGCAAACCCUACCAUGCUCGCGACGGG